Molecule: ribosomal RNA, 487 nt
Filed under: uncultured bacterium
Lineage: Bacteria
Description: partial 16S ribosomal RNA
Rfam family: Bacterial small subunit ribosomal RNA
Source: RNAcentral
GAUGAACGCUGGCGGCGUGCUUAACACAUGCAAGUCGAACGAAGCACUUUUGAUUCUUCGGAAGAGAAAGUGACUGAGUGGCGGACGGGUGAGUAACGCGUGGGUAACCUGCCUUAUACAGGGGGAUAACAGUUAGAAAUGACUGCUAAUACCGCAUAAGCCGAUAGAGUCGCAUGACUUAGUCGGAAAAGAUUUAUCGGUAUAAGAUGGACCCGCGUCUGAUUAGCUAGUUGGUGAGGUAAUGGCCCACCAAGGCGACGAUCAGUAGCCGGCUUGAGAGAGUGAACGGCCACAUUGGGACUGAGACACGGCCCAAACUCCUACGGGAGGCAGCAGUGGGGAAUAUUGCACAAUGGGGGAAACCCUGAUGCAGCAACGCCGCGUGAAGGAAGAAGUAUUUCGGUAUGUAAACUUCUAUCAGCAGGGAAGAAAAUGACGGUACCUGACUAAGAAGCCCCGGCUAACUACGUGCCAGCCGCCGCCGUAA